Molecule: long non-coding RNA, 1804 nt
Filed under: Salvator merianae (Argentine black and white tegu)
Lineage: Eukaryota; Metazoa; Chordata; Lepidosauria; Squamata; Teiidae
Description: lncRNA (ENSSMRG00000014998.1)
Source: RNAcentral
UCACAUCUCCAUUCUAGUUGCCAGCCAGCAUCACUCGACAUUACAAUACUCUUUCAAGUUUGCGCCUCUAUUCAUCAUACAGCCUUAAUGACCGUCCUUAUAGUGAACUUGUCAACCUCAUCACCACACCCAGAGUUUUGCAUUCCUGUUGCUUUUCAUACAUAUAUAGGUCUGUCCCUAGGUUCUUUACCCCAUGCAUCUAAUGGAGUAGGUUUUGUCUACAAAAGUUCAUGCUACCGACUGCAUAAAGGUGCCCAUGGAGUCUGGGAUGGGCUGAAGCUCAGUGGUAGAGCAGACUGCCUGGAAAACAGAGGGUUGCCGGUCUGAUUGCUAGAAGUAGGCANUGGCAAACCAUUUCUGUCUCCCUGCCAAGAAAACUGCAUAGAGGGCUCCAAGGAGUCGACCAGGAAUCGGUCCCGACUUGGUGCUACUCAACAACAUCAACCGCCACCACUAACAUCUGUAAGGCCAUAGUUUGUCCUCCACAUUUUGUUAAGGAAUCUUGGGGGAUGCUCUGCUAGUUUUGACCAUGCUGGUUGCUUUUCCUUGUACCUCGUAGAUUCCAGUGCCUCCCCCAAGCUACUGGGAAGGGUACUAUUUCACUGCAGGGGCAAAACCCAGCCGUUCAGAGCUGGAGAUCAUCUCCAGCUUUCAGAAGGACGACAGCUUUCCACGGCGUGUGCUGGACAUGGUAGUGUGGCUGGCAAAUAAGGAGCAAAUCAGAGUUCCCCCUGAUCAGUUAAAAGCCUGGUGCAUAGAAAAACUAAGUGAGAGGGGAAGUCUGUCAGGGCAGCAGACCCCAAAGUGUAUCAACUUGCAUCGCACAGUCCGAUACCGACAGGAAGCUGGCGUCCGUGUCCAAGUCAAGCAAGCCUUUGGACUUAAAGGUGAUCCAUCCUUACCUGGACGAUCACAGUGUCCUCUUAGUCCAAAUAUAUGGCUUGAAUGCUGUUUAUACCCCAGAUCCGACUGGAGAUAGAGUGGGCAAGGUGACGCCACGUUCUGGUCAAGUUCUUGAGCUUAAUGAACAGUCACAGCUGGGUUGGACGGCUUUCCCCCUCUUUUACAGGAACUGCGUAAGAAGUGGCUUGCACAGUGCACCGUUGUUCCAAGGGACACCAAGUGCUGAAUUCCUACAGAGCAUCACUGCUCACCCCGUGAAGGACAUCAUGGCUGAACAUCUGCAGGAAAAAAAACUCCGACUUCUCGCGACAUAUGGCAGCGUUGCCGUUGAAAUAUGGGACGGCCAUUUCUUCGACGACGAUCGUCCGGAGUUGCCUGUUCUCAACGAUCUUCUUUCCAUCGACAAGCCAAAGAAAUUUUUGGCAACCCAAACCAGCCGAAAGGGCAAGGAGAUGUCCCAGCUUGUUCUGAAAACUCUGGAUAAGAAAUUAAGAAAACGAGGUUGCGACAGCCUAGAAUACCAGCAGCAAGAACGUUUGUACGCGCAAGCAAUGGGGAACACCUUUUACAANGUGAUGGAAACAGCUUUGCUGAAUGCAGGAUAUGGUCCUUUAUGAUUGAUCAUCUUGAAAAUUGUUGACAAAGGCAAAGGAUCUUUGGAACUGAAAGCUUUUCUAGGCUCCCCGUUACAGCCAAAUAGUACAUGAAGUCUCCGUUGGUGAGUGCAUUGGGGAAAAUACAAACAUAGCAUUUUUAAGAGAAAGUGAAGGUCGUUUUAUUAACACCAGCAUAACCCUUCUUCACAGGAUCUGAAAUAUUUACACUGUAUACCGAAUUAUAAAAUGCAACUAAAAAAAAUCUUUUUUAUUCAUCUUCUGCUUAAAUAUGCAAAAUAAAAUAA